Molecule: ribosomal RNA, 465 nt
Filed under: uncultured Pseudomonadota bacterium
Lineage: Bacteria; Pseudomonadati; Pseudomonadota
Description: bacterial SSU rRNA
Rfam family: Bacterial small subunit ribosomal RNA
Source: RNAcentral
GGAGGAAAGUAGGGGAUCGCAAGACCUCAUGCUCGUGGAGCGGCCGAUAUCUGAUUAGCUAGUUGGUAGGGUAAAAGCCUACCAAGGCAUCGAUCAGUAGCUGGUCUGAGAGGACGACCAGCCACACUGGAACUGAGACACGGUCCAGACUCCUACGGGAGGCAGCAGUGGGGAAUUUUGGACAAUGGGCGAAAGCCUGAUCCAGCAAUGCCGCGUGAGUGAAGAAGGCCUUCGGGUUGUAAAGCUCUUUUGUCAGGGAAGAAACGGUGAGGGCUAAUAUCUCUUGCUAAUGACGGUACCUGAAGAAUAAGCACCGGCUAACUACGUGCCAGCAGCCGCGGUAAUACGUAGGGUGCAAGCGUUAAUCGGAAUUACUGGGCGUAAAGCGUGCGCAGGCGGUUUUGUAAGUCUGAUGUGAAAUCCCCGGGCUCGACCUGGGAAUUGCGUUUGAAACUACAAAGCUAG